GGGGUUGUGGCUCAAUGAUAGAGUGUUUGCCUAGCAUGCAUGAGGCAAUGGGUUCAAUCCUCAGCACCA
This 69-nucleotide transfer RNA is filed under the name Ictidomys tridecemlineatus (thirteen-lined ground squirrel). RNAcentral describes it as "Spermophilus tridecemlineatus (thirteen-lined ground squirrel) tRNA". It matches the Rfam family "tRNA". From Rfam's summary of the family: Transfer RNA (tRNA) molecules are approximately 80 nucleotides in length. Lineage: Eukaryota; Metazoa; Chordata; Mammalia; Rodentia; Sciuridae. The record is from Rfam by way of RNAcentral.